UGAUUGUAAUACCAUCAUGUCCAUCUCAUGGUCUGUGAAAAGGAUACAUGUACAUUCUCUCCUAUAUGUUAGGAAGGUUUGAGUCUCUUCAUUAUCUUCUCUUUGAUGUCAUCCUCUUAAUUAAAUGAAUGAGACCUGACAUCCUCCGGAAAGGAACAGUAUUGGUCCCCUAGUAUCUCUUGUAUUGAAGAACCAGGAGACCACAUGUGACGGCCAACCUCUCCCUCGUCCCUCAAGAUCCCCUCGUCACCAUACAAGUAAGGAUGAGGAGUGGGUGGAGUGAGGGGAGGUGUGGUAGUUGUGAUGAUGAAAGCUAUGCUGCCUCCUGAAGGUUCCCUGUCAUGGACUGGUGAUAUAUUAUGUAGUGGGUCAAUAUUACAGUGGGACCCAUGUCUACCAGGAGACUAUUAGACCACACCCAGGAGGUCUGUGAGAUUCACUGGUCAACAAAUCAUCAGCAACUGGUGUCAGGAGGAAAUGAUAAUAUAGUUAUGGUAUACUGUUACUGUUCUUAUGGGGUACCCAAUGUAUGCUCCUUUUCAUCAAAGAGGAAGAAUUACUCUAACAACUAGAUCAGUAGCAUUCCUGAGGAUAAUGACUGUUGCUAUGACAACUGUACAUGUAUGUCCA
This is a long non-coding RNA of Amphimedon queenslandica, 630 nucleotides long. RefSeq lists it as uncharacterized. The record is from RefSeq and is a predicted model, not a curated record. The transcript is spliced from 6 exons. NCBI's taxonomy places the organism in Eukaryota, Metazoa, Porifera, Demospongiae, Haplosclerida, Niphatidae.